Molecule: long non-coding RNA, 598 nt
Organism: Procambarus clarkii (red swamp crayfish)
Lineage: Eukaryota; Metazoa; Arthropoda; Malacostraca; Decapoda; Cambaridae
Source: RefSeq, a predicted model, not a curated record
UACUUCGAAGCUUCAGACGUUUACUUGGGGAAGAGCCGGUCAGAAGCUGACAGAUGACCUGGUUGUGUUCUCGUGAACGUGUUCGUUUUCUGAUCCAGACAUUGAUUCUCUCAGAGUAACACUUGGGACAAUGUGGGAGGAACACGAACUAGAAGAAAUCCCUUCUGUAGCAGAACGCAGAGCUGCAUAUGGCCGUUAUAGGUAACGUGUCCCGGAGCUUCAACAUGUGCGGGCUGCUGUCCCUGUGCUGGAAGCCUGAGAGAUGUCGGGUGUGUGGCCACGUCAUCACCAGCGAAGAGUAGCCAGCGCUUAGACUAGCUACCAACCAAAACCCUGCGGAAGAUGCCUUGUAUACAUAGGUAUAUUUAGGGACCCACGGAGAAAAAACAGAAAAUUGCGUAAUUUUUUAAUGGUGCCGAGGGACGCCUUGAUUUGCUUGGCUCUUUUAGCCUAGCGGGUGCAGACGAUAACAGCAUGUUGGGAAUUUUUUUAUUAAUUUUUUUAAUGCUUAUCUAUAGGUUUUAGGCUAUGACUAAGAGUGAUUUUUAUUCUUUAGGCUGGACAGAUUUCUGAAAGUACUAUUAAAUUUUUACUCUAA